Molecule: ribosomal RNA, 451 nt
Filed under: uncultured bacterium
Lineage: Bacteria
Description: partial 16S ribosomal RNA
Rfam family: Bacterial small subunit ribosomal RNA
Source: RNAcentral
GAUGAACGCUGGCGGCGUGCCUAAUACAUGCAAGUCGAACGAGGUCUUCGGACCUAGUGGCGAACGGGUGAGUAACACGUUGGUACCUACCCCGAAGUGGGGAAUAACUGCCCGAAAGGGUGGCUAAUACCGCAUAAUACCGCAAGGUUAAAGCAGUAAUGCGCUUCGGGAGGGGCCUGCGCCCCAUUAGCUAGUUGGUAGGGUAGUGGCCUACCAAGACGACGAUGGGUAGCUGGAUCGAGAGGUCGACCAGCCACACUGGGACUGAGAUACGGCCCAGACUCCUACGGGAGGCAGCAGUAAGGAAUCUUCCACAAUGGACGAAAGUCUGAUGGAGCAACGCCGCGUGCAGGAUGACGGCCUUCGGGUUGUAAACUGCUUUUAUACGGGAAGAUUAUGACGGUACCGUAUGAAUAAGGACCGGCUAACUACGUGCCAGCCGCCGCCGUAA